RNAcentral lists this ribosomal RNA (773 nucleotides) under uncultured Neocallimastigales. RNAcentral's name for it is "partial large subunit ribosomal RNA". It matches the Rfam family "Eukaryotic large subunit ribosomal RNA", at positions 24 to 618 of the family's 3401-position model. Lineage: Eukaryota; Fungi; Neocallimastigomycota; Neocallimastigomycetes; Neocallimastigales. The record is from RNAcentral.
UAUCUCUGUAGAGUCUGCAUAUCAAUAAGCGGAGGAAAAGAAACUGACUAGGAUUCCCUCAGUAACGGCGAGUGAAGCGGGAAGAGCUCAAAUUUGAAAUCUUCAAGGUUCUACCUUGACGAAUUGUAGUUUAAAGAAGUGUUUUCUGUUGGAGUUUUGGUAAAAGUUCUUUGGAAUAGGACAUCAUAGAGGGUGAGAAUCCCGUAUUUGACCAUUAUUUCCAGCUUUGUGAUACACUUUCAAAGAGUCGGAUUGUUUGGGAAUGCAGUCCAAAAUGGGUGGUAAAUUUCAUCUAAAGCUAAAUAUUGGCGAGAGACCGAUAGCGAACAAGUACCGUGAGGGAAAGAUGAAAAGAACUUUGAAAAGAGAGUUAAACAGUACGUGAAAUUGUCAAAAGGGAAGCGUUUGACACCAGUGUUGUUUCUACGAAAAUCAAUUUAUGAUGGCUUGAUGCUAAGCUUUAAGACUUUAUCCGCUUGUUGUUUAGUUUUCUUGUCUUUGUGAAUGCACUUUUCGUGGAACAAGUCAACAUCAAUUUCUUUUGCUGUAAAAGGGUAAGAGGAAGGUGGCUUCGGCUUCGGUUGAAGUGUUUAUAGCCUUUUAUCUCUGCAGUCGGAGAGAUUGAGGUCUGCAGCGUAGACUCUUCGGGGUUAGAUACGUCGGUGCUAAGCUAUAGCUUUUCAUAGACAACUUGUUGACUAUGUUUAGUCAUGUGGCUUACCCGCUGGCGCUAUUUUACCUACGCUUAGGAUGUUGAGUCAUCACACAUCUCU